UUCACAGCUCUACAAUGAACUCCUCUCUGUUUAUCUGCAGAAUGAAUCCAGAAGAGGGAGUGGCACUAAAAGCUUCCCCACCCAAUCCCACCAAUGUGCCUCAACUCUGACCUAACGGGAUCAUUUCUAGGUGUGAGAAGGUAAUUCAGACUUCACGCCUAUCAUGCCUCUAGUUUCU
This 178-nucleotide small RNA is filed under the name Crocodylus porosus (Australian saltwater crocodile). Its description in RNAcentral is "TUC338 (ENSCPRG00005004557.1)". The record is from RNAcentral. Lineage: Eukaryota; Metazoa; Chordata; Crocodylia; Crocodylidae.